RNAcentral lists this long non-coding RNA (191 nucleotides) under Capra hircus (goat). RNAcentral describes it as "lncRNA (ENSCHIG00000007063.1)". Lineage: Eukaryota; Metazoa; Chordata; Mammalia; Artiodactyla; Bovidae. The record is from RNAcentral.
GGGCUUCAGGGGAAUCUCUGGGCCCCAGAUCUAAGACUGUAGGACAGAAGACCCUCAGCCUUGGGGAGGCCUCCUCUCAACUUAGCAGAGAUUGCCUUCCUGGAAGAAGCCACAGUGUUUUCUGAGGAGCUCAAGUUCACAAUCCAGAGGUGAGUUGUUAUGCGUCAUUAUUUAUAUUCAAGUGCUUCCUU